This 378-nucleotide ribosomal RNA is filed under the name uncultured bacterium. RNAcentral's name for it is "bacterial SSU rRNA". It matches the Rfam family "Bacterial small subunit ribosomal RNA", at positions 29 to 398 of the family's 1533-position model. The record is from RNAcentral.
AACGAACGCUGGCGGCGCGCUUAACACAUGCAAGUCGAACGAGAAGCUGUAGCAAUACAGUUGUACAGUGGCGAACGGGUGAGGAAUACAUGGGUAACCUACCCUCGAGUGGGGAAUAACCAGCCGAAAGGCUGGCUAAUACCGCGUACGCUUCCCAAUCUGCGGGUUGGGAAGGAAAGCUCUACCGUGGGUAGAGCGCUCAAGGACGGGCUCAUGUCCUAUCAGCUUGUUGGAGGGUAACGGCCUACCAAGGCAACGACGGGUAGCUGGUCUGAGAGGACGAUCAGCCACACUGGCACUGCGACACGGGCCAGACUCCUACGGGAGGCAGCAGUGAGGAAUAUUGCGCAAUGGGCGACAGCCUGACGCAGCGACGCC